CUCAAAUUUUACAAGCGUGGUCAGCCUACAUGCCAUUUGAGUCGGCAGCCAUGUUUUAAAUAGUCUAUUCCUUUGUUCGUCAUUUAGGCUGUAUUUGUCUAAAUUAGACUCAAACAUUUCAGCAUUAGUAAAUGCAUCCACUGACAUGUCAUAAACUGGAAUACAUUUCACAAUUUUCAGUAAUUGUUCAUGGAUUUUCAGAUUAAGUUUUGCAGUUCUG
Non-coding RNA from Pelobates cultripes (western spadefoot toad), 220 nucleotides. Lineage: Eukaryota; Metazoa; Chordata; Amphibia; Anura; Pelobatidae. The record is from the annotation of a GenBank genome assembly.